Molecule: ribosomal RNA, 335 nt
Filed under: uncultured bacterium
Lineage: Bacteria
Description: bacterial SSU rRNA
Rfam family: Bacterial small subunit ribosomal RNA
Source: RNAcentral
AGAGUUUGAUUCUGGCUCAGGAUGAACGCUAGCUACAGGCUUAACACAUGCAAGUCGAGGGGCAGCGGGAUUGAAGCUUGCUUCAAUUGCCGGCGACCGGCGCACGGGUGAGUAACGCGUAUCCAACCUUCCGUACACUCAGGGAUAGCCUUUCGAAAGAAAGAUUAAUACCUGAUGGUAUCUUAAGCACACAUGUAAUUAAGAUUAAAGAUUCAUCGGUGUACGAUGGGGAUGCGUUCCAUUAGGUAGUAGGCGGGGUAACGGCCCACCUAGCCUACGAUGGAUAGGGGUUCUGAGAGGAAGGUCCCCCACAUUGGAACUGAGACACGGUCCAA